This 1954-nucleotide unclassified non-coding RNA is filed under the name Megachile rotundata (alfalfa leafcutting bee). RNAcentral describes it as "uncharacterized LOC100878399, transcript variant X1". Lineage: Eukaryota; Metazoa; Arthropoda; Insecta; Hymenoptera; Megachilidae. The record is from RNAcentral.
ACUAUAGAGUACAAUAACGCUGUGAUGUAAGGUUUUUACGUAAUUUUAUUUUUAAUGAGACAUCACAUUAAGCGAUCAAAAGAUUUAAAACAGCAAGCCAUUAUGUCUUCCUUUGUUUCGAUUGCAAUCGUUACGUUAUGAUUGGUUAGUUUGAAUGCGGAGAGUCGAUAAAAAUUGUGCGGAGAACUUUCUGAAAGAUCAUCAGCACAGUCGUUGAAUUUGUUAUUUGCAGAUUAUAGUUUAUGUAUAGAUUUUUGUUUGUCGUGUAAUUUAUGUAACAGUUUCAAUAAAAAUGGAAAUAGAAGCAUCUACCGAAGAAAACGCUGUUCAGGUUAUUAGAGAGGGUUUGAGAGAACUAGUUUCCACGGAAAGGAAAGAGUCACGAUUGAAAGUAUUAAAUAAAAAUCGUGUAGCUUUGGGAAAUGCUAUUCCGGAUUCAGCUUUCACGCCAGAAUUUGUUAUUAAAAAUGCAGAGGCGCUUAAGAAGAAAGCAUUGCCAGUUGAAAAGUACAAGCAGCUUCAGAAUGCUCUUAUUCAGAACGAGGAAAAUGUCAACUCAUUUCUAAAAGUGCAUAAUGUAACAUUUGCUCUGGUACGUGAUUUUUCUGGGAAUAAUCCAAUUAUACAAUUAUGUGCAAUUAGUUGCGCUUGCAACAUUGCACUUGGAAAUACUAAGGCUUGUACUUCAUUGGCUAAAAGUAUUGGAUCUUAUCUCACCACAGAAUUAGAUAGUUUAAAUUACCCUUUACUGGAAGCCUGUAUAUGGACAAUGGGAAACUUAAUUGCUGGAAGUGAUAAAGCUUUUGAAAUAUUUCAUGCACAAGGUUGUUUAAAGCAGAUAAUAUCUCUGAUACAAAAUUGUGAUAAUACUAUUUUAUUUGCUGUAGCAUACUGUGCUAUGCAUUAUGUGCAUGUUGGUUGUCAACACAUUCGAAAAGAGGAACUAAUUGAACUUGCAAGAGUUACAGCAGGAAGAGGACUAUGCUUUGAAAGUCCAUAUAUGAUUUGGUUGUUAGCUUUAUUAUCUUCACACGAGCCCUGUAAUGCACAUAUAUGUAAUGUUGCAUCUCCUGUAAUAGAUUAUCUACACCAAAAUACUAAAAAUAAUCAUGCCACUGUAACAGAGAUCACAGCAUGCAUAAGAUUGUUGGCUAACACUGUAUAUGAAACAUCUGGAAAUGUAGCAAAACUUUUGUUAGAGAAUGCCAAAUAUACCCAGUCUGAUGUAGAAACAUUGUUAAAUGGAUUACUUUCAUCCCAGUAUGUACAUGUCAGAAAAGAGACACUGUGGUUAAUAGGAAAUCUUUAUAAUCACAAUCUUAUUGAUGUCAAAAACACUACUCAAAAAAUUAUACCGUGCCUAUCAUCCCUGAAACAAACAAUUUUAUGUAUGACACAGCAACCUGUAUUAAUAAAUGCAGAUUGAAACAGUUGUCUGGAAUUAUCAUGAAUAAAUCGUCGUCCUAGUCCUAUGGAAGUAUCUUGAGCUAGGGCGGCAUCUUCUAUACACGGUAUUUUCAUUACAUUGAAGUAUAUGUGACCCAUGAUGUGUGCAGCUGGAUGCGUUGCAGCUUUCAAACAAUAGUACAGCGCCUCGUCGCACACACAGUGCGAUCUAGGAAGUUUUCAGCAAUGUCUCCAGCUCCACACCAUUUUGUACCUGCAACGUUAUAUCAAGAUUACUUGAAAAUAUCAUUCACAUUGCUGCAUGAGUUUUGUCAUCUCCUGAAAGGACACCUUUUGAGGAACAGUUGUCAACGAUAGAUUUCUUAAAACUUCAGUGGCUUCUUCUUGUUCGCUGCAAGAUGAAACAAUUGUUUACUUCAUCCAGAAGCAUCAUCCUAUCAAACUGAUAAUUUGUAGAUGGUCGACCACCGCAACAGUCUGAUCAUGGUAAUACACAGCCCUUAUUUCAUCUUUGUUCUGUACAUCGUUCCACACCGUGACACCAUUC